This 1077-nucleotide ribosomal RNA is filed under the name Lycorma delicatula (spotted lanternfly). RNAcentral's name for it is "bacterial SSU rRNA". It matches the Rfam family "Eukaryotic small subunit ribosomal RNA", at positions 42 to 996 of the family's 1831-position model. The record is from RNAcentral. Lineage: Eukaryota; Metazoa; Arthropoda; Insecta; Hemiptera; Fulgoridae.
GAUUAGCCAUGCAGUCUCAGUACAAGCCGAACUAAGGUGAAACCGCAAAAGGCUCAUUAAAUCAGUUAUGGUUCCUUGGAUCGUACAAUCCAUUACUUGGAUAACUGUGGUAAUUCUAGAGCUAAUACAUGCAAACAGAGUCCCGACCAGAAAUGGAAGGGACGCUUUUAUUAGAUCAAAACCAAUCGACGUCCGUCUUCCUCCGGGUCGACGGCGCCGUACUCCUUGGUGACUCUGAAUAACUUUUGGCAGAUCGCACGGUCUUCGAACCGGCGACGCAUCCUUCAAAUGUCUGCCUUAUCAACUGUCGAUGGUAGGUUCUGCGCCUACCAUGGUUGUAACGGGUAACGGGGAAUCAGGGUUCGAUUCCGGAGAGGGAGCCUGAGAAACGGCUACCACAUCCAAGGAAGGCAGCAGGCGCGCAAAUUACCCACUCCCGGCACGGGGAGGUAGUGACGAAAAAUAACGAUACGGGACUCAUCCGAGGCCCCGUAAUCGGAAUGAGUAUACUCUAAAUCCUUAUACGAGUAUCAAUUGGAGGGCAAGUCUGGUGCCAGCAGCCGCGGUAAUUCCAGCUCCAAUAGCGUAUAUUAAAGUUGUUGCGGUUAAAAAGCUCGUAGUUGGAUCUGUGUCCCGCACCGUCGGUUCACCGCCUGUCGGUGUUCAACUGGUGUGUAUGCGGGACGUCCUGCCGGUGGCGGUCCGGUUCCCCGUGGGUACGUAGGGGCGUCCUUGCUUACGCUUGCGUCGUCCCCGAAGGCCUGCGCGGUGUAUCCGGCCGCCUUUUCAAUCCCGUCGCGGUGCUCUUCACUGAGUGUCGAGGCGGGCCGGCACGUUUACUUUGAACAAAUUAGAGUGCUUUAAGCAGGCCCUGUCCCGCCUGUAUGUUGUGUGCAUGGAAUAAUGGAAUAGGACCUCGGUUCUAUUUUGUUGGUUUUCGGAAUCUGAGGUAAUGAUCAAUGGGGACAGGCGGGGGCAUUCGUAUUGCGACGUUAGAGGUGAAAUUCUUGAUCGUCGCAGACGGACCGAGCGAAAGCAUUGCCAGUAUGUCUCGUCGAUCAGACCGAAGUAGAGUCG